RNAcentral lists this ribosomal RNA (1824 nucleotides) under Triticum aestivum (bread wheat). RNAcentral describes it as "partial small subunit ribosomal RNA". The record is from RNAcentral. Lineage: Eukaryota; Viridiplantae; Streptophyta; Magnoliopsida; Poales; Poaceae.
AUGGCUUCCCUGGCCCGAAAUACCGUGCUGCUCCUUGUCCUGGUCGGCAUCGUUCUGCAGCUGAGCUCCAUCAUGCCAGCUGCGGCGGCUGGCAGGAUGCUUGCAGAGGACGUACUGAAGUGUGAAGGCGGGUUGGUAUUCAAGAGAGAUCCCUCCAUUAGCGGCGGCGGCAUGUGCGUCGUAGCCGAGAUACUCAAGUGCGGCGGCGGGUUGGUAUUCAAGGAAGAUCCCUCCGUUAGCGGCGGCGGCGAGUGCGUCGUAGCCGACGUACUCAAGUGCGGCGCCGGGUUCGAAUUCAAGGAAGAUCCAUCCAUUAGCGGCGGUGGCGGGUGCGUCGUAGCCGCCGUAGUAAACUGCGGCGCCGGGUUUGAAUUCAAGAAAGAUCCCUCCAUGAGCGGCGGCGGCGGAUGCGUCGUAGCCGCGUUACUCAAGUGCGGCACUGGGUUCGAAUUCAAGGAAGAUCCCUCUAUUCGCGGCGGCGGCGAGUGCGUUGUAACCAACGAAGUCAAGUGCGACGCCGGAAUCAUCAAACCAACACCAGGUACGCACUACGCAGCACACACGUUAACCUCCGAGUCCCCAUUACAUUGCCACCUGCCUAGUACAAAAGCAAAGCUCCACGUUUCGGUAUUGAUGGCUUCCCUGGCCCGAAAUACCGUGCUGCUCCUUGUCCUGGUCGGCGUCGUUCUGCAGCUGAGCUCCAUCAUGCCGGCCGCGGUGGCUGGCAGGAUGCUUGCAGAGGACGUAUUGAAGUGUGAAGGCGGGUUGGUAUUCAAGAGAGAUCCCUCCAUUAGCGGCGGCGGCAUGUGCGUCGUAGCCGACAUACUCAAGUGCGGCGGCGGGUUGGUAUUCAAGGAAGAUCCCUCCAUUAGCGGCGGCGGCGAGUGCGUCGUAGCCAACGUACUCAAGUGCGGCGCCGGGUUCGAAUUCAAGGAAGAUCCAUCCAUUAGCGGCGGUGGCGGGUGCGUCGUAGCCGCCGUAGUCAACUGCGGUGCCGGUUUCGAAUUCAAGAAAGAUCCCUCCAUGAGCGGCGGCGGCGGAUGCGUCGUAGCCGCCUUACUCAAGUGCGGCGCUGGGUUCGAAUUCAAGGAAGAUCCCUCCAUUCGCGGCGGCGGCGAGUGCGUUGUAACCAACGUAGUCAAGUGCGACGCCGGCUUCGAAUUCAAGAAAGACAACCCCCCUACCGGCGGCGGCAAGAUAACAGUGACUAUUUUAUCCAAGGCUGGGGCGCCCCCCUCCCGUCCUUCGUUUAGCUAUGCCAUUGUUUCGUCUGAGCAGCUUGCAGUUGCACGGCAAACUCCUUGCAAAAGUGUAGAUCACCCUCGUGGCAAUCCAGCCAAUGAUGGGCAUGCAAAGGCCCAAUAUCAUCCAUUUCAUGCUAGCCCAGGAGGAAGCCGGAUAGCACGAUAUUGCUCCGGGCUCGACAGCUUUUUGAUGCGCUGGUGGUUGCGCUCCAUCCAACAAGAUGUGCCCAUGGUUGUAGUCCGUGCUGUGAUGAAGAUUGGUUCAAUUUUAAAGGUUGAGGCUGCUGGGGCUAGCAUAUAUAAACUGUCUGAUGAAGUUACUAAUAGGAAGGAAUUUCCGUUGAAGGUCGAGCAAAUAAGUGAGCCACUGUUAAUGUCAGGAGGUGUUAUAGGGAAGAUAGGCACAGUGUACGGCACGGACGAAGUUGCCAAGAGUUGUAUUGGACAGGCCCGCAAACUGGCCUAUCACGUUGAAGAUGUAAUCGACAAAUUAUCAUACCAUAUUCUUCAACAUCAGAAAGAAGGAUUCCUGAAAAAAGUUUUCCUCAAAGAACCAGACUAUGUCAAACUUUUCAGUUAA